UAAUUACCCACACGUGCUUCCUCUACAUCCUUUCAAAAUAAAAGCACCAAUGCCAAUUAUUAGCUUUAACUGCACUGCUUUUGCCUUUGAAUGGGUAAUUAUGAUAUUAAUGGGUAAUUAAAGACUAAUUGACAGUUACGCUAUUACCCCCACACAUUUCCUCUAAAUCCUUUCAAAAUAAAAGCACCAAUUACAAUUUAUUACCUUUAAUGGCAAGAUUGAUUAAAAAAAUUUGUGGUUCUGAAUGCUUACCAAUCGUUAAUGGGACUACUUUAGAGUUCAGUAAAUAGCCACUCAAACUUAUUAGGGUGCUUUUAUUCUGAAAGGGCUAAAUCUAAAUCUUUUGCUUUAAUAGGGCUAUUCUUGCUAUUGAAUGAUAAAUUAUGACUAUCUAAUGACUAUUUUAUAGUUUAGUAAUCGCCCACACACAACCUCUAAAUCCUUUCAAAAUAAAAGCACCAAUGUAAUUUAAUACCUAAAUGGCAAGAUUUUUGUUUCUGACUGGUAAAUUUCUACUAGUUAUUAAAAUAUUACACAGUUAGGUAAUUAUUUACAAAUACUUUCUUCAAAUCAAAAAGAUAGUCAGCUUAUUUAUGAUUGUCAACAAUGCCCCUUGGUCAACUUUUUAAUCUUUGACAUCUUUUAACCGUGGUCAACUUUUGAAUCAUUGUCAUCUCUUUAAUAUUGUCAUAGUAUGACCUUGGUCAUCUUUUUAAUCAUCAUCUUUUUAAUCGCCAUCUUUUGUCAUCGUUUUAAUCUCAUCGUUUUCUCGUUUUCAUCGUUUUGCCGUAGUCAACUUUUGGACGUAGUCAACUUUUUGACGUCAGCAGCUUAAUCAGCGUUUGUCAUCGUUGCGGCAGCAGAUCAGCUCUCCCACGUAAUUUCUCGAGAAAUUACUUUUUCUAGUUGUCUUUAUUACAUUACAAUUGAAUGGCCAUAGACACAUUGUUAGCAGAGAAAAGAGUUAUGUUCGGAGAGGCAUGUUGUACUUACAUUCUGAAUAACACUGAUUCUAAUGGUACUGUGGCGAAGGCGCUCCACGGCCUUCAGAAUCUCAGCUAACUCUGGCAUAGGUUCUUUCC
This 1082-nucleotide long non-coding RNA is filed under the name Betta splendens (Siamese fighting fish). Its description in RNAcentral is "lncRNA (ENSBSLG00000009641.1)". Lineage: Eukaryota; Metazoa; Chordata; Actinopteri; Anabantiformes; Osphronemidae. The record is from RNAcentral.